CAGCGCCACGAGUGGUGACCACGUUUAUUGGGCCUAAAGCGUCCGUAGCCGGUUUGGUAAGUCUUUUGUGAAAUUGUUCGGCUUAACCGAACAGCGUGCAAGAGAUACUGCCAGACUUGAGACCGGGAGGAGUCAGAAGUAUUCCAGGGGGAGCGGUAAAAUGUUAUAAUCCCUGGAGGACUACCUGUGGCGAAGGCGUCUGACCAGAACGGAUCUGACGGUGAGGGACGAAAGCCAGGGGAGCGAACCGGAUUAGAUACCCGAGUAGUCC
Molecule: ribosomal RNA, 271 nt
Filed under: uncultured archaeon
Lineage: Archaea
Description: partial 16S ribosomal RNA
Rfam family: Archaeal small subunit ribosomal RNA
Source: RNAcentral